This 503-nucleotide ribosomal RNA is filed under the name uncultured bacterium. RNAcentral describes it as "partial 16S ribosomal RNA". It matches the Rfam family "Bacterial small subunit ribosomal RNA", at positions 30 to 523 of the family's 1533-position model. The record is from RNAcentral.
AUUGAACGCUGGCGGCAGGCUUAACACAUGCAAGUCGAGCGGGGUGAUGGUGCUUGCACUAUCACUUAGCGGCGGACGGGUGAGUAAUGCUUCGGAAUCUGCCUAUUAGUGGGGGACAACAUCUCGAAAGGGAUGCUAAUACCGCAUACGUCCUACGGGAGAAAGCAGGGGAUCACUUGUGACCUUGCGCUACUAGAUGAGCCUAAGUCGGAUUCGCUAGUUAGUGGGGUAAAGGCCUACCAAGGCGACGAUCUAGAGCGGGUCUGAGAGGAUGAUCCGCCACACUGGGACUGGGACACGGCCGAGACUCCUACGGGAGGCAGCAGUGGGGAAUAUUGGACAAUGGGGGGAACCCUGAUCCAGCCAUGCCGCGUGUGUGAAGAAGGCCUUAUGGCUGUAAAGCACUUUAAGCGAGGAGGAGGCUCUUUUGGUUAAUACCCAAGAUGAGUGGACGUUACUCGCAGAAUAAGCACCGGCUAACUCUGUGCCAGCAGCCGCCGUAA